AGUUUUUGUAGAAAACCAUAGUAAUUGCAAAAUGAACUAUGGUUUACCACAGCAUUUGCAGAAGAACCAUUACAAAAUAACCCAUGGUUUUUCAACAGUAUUUACUACAGAUUUAGUUAUUUAUUACUAUUAAAAACAUAGGGCUCAAUAAAAUAAUCAUAAUUAAUCUCAUGAUUUCUGAAAAUGAAACAAUCAAAUUUGGCAAAUGUGUUGUCAGUUAUUAUAAAAAAUACACUCUUAAAAAAUGGUUCUUUGGCAGGGUGUAUGGUUCCAUGAAGAACCUUUAAUAUCCAAAAGAACCUAUAAUUGCACAAAAGGUUCUUUGUAGUACAAAAGGUUCUUUAGACUAUUUAAUGGUUCUUCACAAUCAACAUUUUGUAAUUUUAUUUUUUUCUGGAAAGUGAGAUCAAGUGAGCUAAAUAUUCCUAGCUGCCUGGUCCAGAACUCAUUCCAGACUCAUUUUCUUUUAGUUGUGUUCAAUUAAAGCUCAAUAAAGUAUUAAUUUUUAGUUAUAAAAAGUGUUGUGGUGUUUUUUUUAAUUAAAAAAGACCAGUAGAUCAGUCAUUUUAUACUUUUUACUCCUAUUUUAAUGCUGUUUUGCAUGACUCAAAAAAUGUAUUAGGCUAGUUAUUUAGCAAAAGCAAAGUUUAGUAUAAAAAAUCAUGUUUUAAAAUGAAAUAAAAAGGCUGAGUGAUACAAAUCUUAAUAUAUAUAUAUAUAUAUAUAUAUAUAUAUAUAUAUAUAUAUAUAUAUAUAUAUAUAUUUCUUUUUUUUUUUUAUCCCACUAUCAUACAUUUUGCACCAAUGUAUUGGUCGUAGAACUACAAAAUGAGUUUCAAAUUCGCGAUUUAAAGAAAGAUUUUAAGAGGUUUGUGAAUGACUGUGACGUGUUUAAAUGGGCGUGCCCGCUGAAUCUCAUUCAAAUGUUGCAGUGGAGGGAGUUGCCAUGGAAACGGUGAGCAACACUGUAACUGACGAACAGUAAAUCUCCGUCUCUCGCUGCUGUUUUCACUGCUUUCAGGUUUUUAGGGAGUUUAGUCCCUAAAAUCACACAAAUAUCACACACAACUGUUCCAGACACUUUCUUACAUGAAACUGACACGUUUCUGUUGAAUAUUUACUUCACAGAAAUGUUUUACAGUCUUCGAAAAAGUCCGCUAGCAUCUGUUUUCAGACGAGGAGUGAUAAUAUAAUCUUUCUACAAAGGAAGAGAAGCUCCAAGAUUUCAAAAGUUCUGACGGGAGCUGCUGACAGAAAUGCUGAAAACACAGGAUCCUAUGUACCCAGCCUCAACCGUUUAUCAGAAGGACAGUGAAAGCGGGAACUCUUUGAACCACCAGUGGCAGUUUCCAUGGGAUGAAAAAGGGCAUAGUAGUGGAUGAUGAGGUCCUGAGACCAUAUGGGGUGAGGAUCAAGACAACCAAACCAAAGGUGGACUGUAACCUACUGAACUAUAUGAUAGACUUCAUACUGACAACUACUGCCAUGUAUGCAGCAUCAAAUGUUUUUGAAAAAAAGGGCAUUUCCUUCACCAAGUAAAAGUGUGGAGGAUUCAUCUGGCCUUCAUCGGCCCCCAUGAGGUGAAGAAUAAAUCAGCUUGCUUUAGGCUUGAAAUGACUGAAAUCUUCUCAUGUGAGUUGAUAUCAUUUUAAACAUUCUUAAAAGUACUUCUCAUUUCUUGUGAAUGUAUUUUGUAGUACGUGUAAAACUUUUCCAAUGAAAGAACCUUUUUUACCUUUAUUGAUUUUGUAAUCAAGGUUGUUAAUGCUAUGGACUGCACACAUCUGCUUGUGUCGGGCUUGUGUUUACAGGUUGUGUAAAACUAGGCAUGGCUGCAACAACUAAUCGAUAAUGAAAAUAAUCAUCAACUAAUUUGAAUAGUGCAUCAAAACAAACAAACCGCUCAUAAUUCUGACUAAAAUACACAUUUUGCUCAAAUAUUUUUUUGUUAGAAAUUAAGUGUAGGUUUAAAACCCUACAUAUAACACAAGUAAUCAUAUUUAUGAGAGCAGUAACAGUAAAGGCACUAUUGCUGGAAUUGUCCAUUAAUAUAAUAUAAUAUAAUUACUCUGUUCAGACGAAUGAUUGUGUUUGUUCCUCGUACCUCUUACAAGUUAACAUUGUGUUUUUUGUUUAAAUUGUUUUAAAUUCUGUUUCAAAAUAACAAGCAAUCUGUUGUUUUUAGGUUUAGAAUGUAAUUUGUGUUUGUAUUUUAACACUUUAAUGCUUAUAAUGUACAGCAGAGCCUACAUAGAUACAUUCAUUAUAUUUGUUUUCAUAGGCAGGAUGUGAAAUGACAUUCUUUAAAAUAAUGGAUUAAAAUUUGUUUAAUUAAAAAAUAAUGUAUAUAUUUUAUUUUUUUAUUUUUUUGUCAUCCAAUUACUAAUAUUAAUAAAAAAAAUCUACAAAUAAAUUGAUUAUCAAAAAAAAUUGUUAGUUGCAUGCAGCCCUACAUAAGAUAUUGUUAAAGAGGUAGGCGGUAUAAUGUUGUGUGUGAACACUAAGUCAUGUUUAUUUGUGCAACAUGUAAUUAAUUUCUAUAGAGAUAAUGCAUUAUUACAGUGAAACAAUUUUUAUUUUGUAAAUUAGCAGAAAGCCAUCUCUACCUCUGCAGUGCUUUAUCACUAUUUUUU
Long non-coding RNA from Onychostoma macrolepis, 2633 nucleotides. RefSeq lists it as uncharacterized. The record is from RefSeq and is a predicted model, not a curated record. The transcript has 4 exons. NCBI's taxonomy places the organism in Eukaryota, Metazoa, Chordata, Actinopteri, Cypriniformes, Cyprinidae.